Molecule: long non-coding RNA, 330 nt
Filed under: Apteryx owenii (little spotted kiwi)
Lineage: Eukaryota; Metazoa; Chordata; Aves; Apterygiformes; Apterygidae
Description: lncRNA (ENSAOWG00000003514.1)
Source: RNAcentral
GAGUGUUGCAGGCCACAAACAGAAAUGCCCAAACUGGACUAGGUGGAGAAGGCAGAUACUUCUGCAGGAGUGUGCAGAAACAAUGAUAUGACAGACCAGCGAGUCCCAGAACCUUUGCUGUUUGCCACUGAGAUGAAAGCCACAGGAAAGGCUUGGCAUCCUGGACCAUCAGCUGAAGGCAUGUGUCAUUCCAGAAAAAAACAUGAUGCUACAUGCAGCUAUCUCAGCCAUGAGAUGAGGGCCUACAGGCAUCUGUCCACCAGAAGAACACUGGGGAUGCCACAGAUUAUACUUGUAAAUCCUCAGAUUAUCAUUAUAAAAACAUGGUAU